GGACGAACGCUGGCGGCGUGCUUAACACAUGCAAGUCGAACGGAGAGGCCCUGCUUUUGUGGGGUGCUCGAGUGGCGAACGGGUGAGUAACACGUGAGUAACCUGCCCUUGACUUUGGGAUAAAUUCAGGAAACUGGGGCUAAUACCGGAUAGGAGCUCCUGCUGCAUGGUGGGGGUUGGAAAGUUUCGGCGGUUGGGGAUGGACUCGCGGCUUAUCAGCUUGUUGGUGGGGUAGUGGCUUACCAAGGCUUUGACGGGUAGCCGGCCUGCGAGGGUGACCGGCCACAUUGGGACUGAGAUACGGCCCAGACUCCUACGGGAGGCAGCAGUGGGGAAUAUUGCACAAUGGGCGGAAGCCUGAUGCAGCAACGCCGCGUGCGGGAUGACGGCCUUCGGGUUGUAAACCGCUUUCGCCUGUGACGAAGCGUGAGUGACGGUAAUGGGUAAAGAAGCACCGGCUAACUACGUG
RNAcentral lists this ribosomal RNA (469 nucleotides) under uncultured bacterium. RNAcentral describes it as "partial 16S ribosomal RNA". It matches the Rfam family "Bacterial small subunit ribosomal RNA", at positions 27 to 507 of the family's 1533-position model. The record is from RNAcentral.